UUUGUCAGUGAUGUUUUUCCACACGCAAGUAUGAGUUUUAACGACCAUGAAUCCACUUCAUGCACUACCAGCUGAGACGAA
Small nucleolar RNA from Rhinichthys klamathensis goyatoka, 81 nucleotides. NCBI's taxonomy places the organism in Eukaryota, Metazoa, Chordata, Actinopteri, Cypriniformes, Leuciscidae. The record is from RefSeq and is a predicted model, not a curated record.